This 683-nucleotide ribosomal RNA is filed under the name uncultured bacterium. Its description in RNAcentral is "bacterial SSU rRNA". It matches the Rfam family "Bacterial small subunit ribosomal RNA", at positions 578 to 1258 of the family's 1533-position model. The record is from RNAcentral.
GGAUGUCAAGUUGGAAGUGAAAUCCUAUGGCUUAACCAUAGAACUGCUUCCAAAACUGGCAACCUAGAGUGAGGGAGAGGCAGAUGGAACUAGUGGUGUAGGGGUAAAAUCCGUAGAUAUCACUAAGAAUACCGAUUGCGAAGGCGAUCUGCUGGAACUCUACUGACGCUGAGGCAUGAAAGCGUGGGGAGCAAACAGGAUUAGAUACCCUGGUAGUCCACGCCCUAAACGAUGUACACUAGUUGUUGGAGUGCUAGUCACUUCAGUAAUGCAGCUAACGCAUUAAGUGUACCGCCUGGGGAGUACGGCCGCAAGAUUAAAACUCAAAGGAAUAGACGGGGACCCGCACAAGCGGUGGAGCAUUUGGUUUAAUUCGAAGAUACACGAAGAACCUUACCUAGCCUUGAUAUCCUUGGAAUCUCUCAGAGAUGAGAGAGUGCUAGUUUACUAGAGCCAAGUGACAGGUGCUGCACGGCUGUCGUCAGCUCGUGUCGUGAGAUGUUGGGUUAAGUCCCGCAACGAGCGCAACCCUCGUCCUUAGUUGCUAACAGUUCGGCUGAGCACUCUAAGGAGACUGCCUUCGUAAGGAGGAGGAAGGUGAGGACGACGUCAAGUCAUCAUGGCCCUUAUGGCUAGGGCUACACACGUGCUACAAUGGGGGGGACAAUAAGAUGCAAUACCGC